This 936-nucleotide ribosomal RNA is filed under the name Triticum aestivum (bread wheat). Its description in RNAcentral is "partial small subunit ribosomal RNA". The record is from RNAcentral. Lineage: Eukaryota; Viridiplantae; Streptophyta; Magnoliopsida; Poales; Poaceae.
AUGCCUAUGGGUUUACUUGAAGCACCCGGUACCUUCGUGAGAGUUAUGCAUUACGUGCUUCACCGUUACAUUGGUGUGUUCGUUGUAGUUUACUUUGACGAAAUUCUUGUGUUUAGAAAAUCCCUCAAGGAACAUGUAGAUCAUCUUAGGGCCGUUUUGCAAACACUUAGAAAAGAGCGUCUUUAUGCCAAUAUGGAAAAAUGCACAUUUGGCGUUGACAAGAUUAUUUUCUUGGGCUUUGUUGAGUCUUCAAAGGGUGUUCAUGUAGAUGAGUCUAAAAUUGACGCAAUUAAAACUUGGCCCCAACCAACUAAUUUGCAACAAGUGCGUAGUUUCCUUGGUCUAGCGGGUUUUUAUCGUCGCUUUGUGAAAGACUUUAGCACUAUUGUCGCACCGUUGCAUGCUUUGAGUAAGAAGAACACACCUUUUGUUUGGAGACCUUUGCAAUCUACCGCAUUUCAUGAGCUCAAGUCUUUGCUUACACAUGCCCCAAUUCUUGCAUUACCUAAUUUCAACAAAACUUUCGAGGUUCACUGUGAUGCUAGUGGUCAUGGAAUUGGUGGUGUUUUGAUGCAAGAAAAGCAACCCAUUACAUACUUUAGUGAAAAACUCUCCGGUGCUCAACUUAACUAUCCCAUAUAUGACAAAGAAUUGUAUGCUUUAGUGCGAGUAUUACAUGUUUGGGAGCAUUAUCUUCGCCCACAUGAAUAUUUCAUACACACCGAUCAUGAGACACUAAAGUACCUCAAGGGUCAAACCAAGUUGAAUAAGUGGCGUGCUAAAUGGAGUGAAUUUAUUGAAUCUUUUCCUUAUGUGAUCAAGUACAUUAAGGGCAAAGAAAAUUUGGUGGCAGAUGCUCUUUCCCGCAUAUGCAUGCUAGUUACUCAAUUUGAACUAAAUGUGAUUGGCUUUGAGCAUAUUAAAGAUCUUUAUUAG